This 253-nucleotide ribosomal RNA is filed under the name uncultured bacterium. RNAcentral describes it as "partial 16S ribosomal RNA". It matches the Rfam family "Bacterial small subunit ribosomal RNA", at positions 524 to 776 of the family's 1533-position model. The record is from RNAcentral.
UACAGAGGGUGCAAGCGUUAAUCGGAGUUACUGGGCGUAAAGGGCGCGUAGGUUGUUACAUAAGUUUGAUGUGAAAUCCCUGGGCUUAACCUAGGGACUGCAUUGAAUACUGUGUAACUAGAGUACUGUAGAGGGUAGUGGAAUUUCCGGUGUAGCGGUGAAAUGCGUAGAGAUCGGAAGGAACACCAGUGGCGAAGGCGGCUACCUGGACAGAUACUGACACUGAGGCGCGAGAGCGUGGGGAGCAAACAGG